Molecule: ribosomal RNA, 482 nt
Filed under: uncultured bacterium
Lineage: Bacteria
Description: partial 16S ribosomal RNA
Rfam family: Bacterial small subunit ribosomal RNA
Source: RNAcentral
AUUGAACGCUGGCGGCAUGCUUUACACAUGCAAGUCGAACGGUAACACGCCGCACUGUCCUGACUAGUGGUGCACGCGUGCGUAAUUCUUCCGCAUGUGCCCCCUCCUUGUGGUUAUCUACUCGCUUGAGUAGCUAAUACCUCAUACCAUCUAUUGUUUUAAGCGGCGUACCUUAAGGCUUCGCGCCAUUCUUGCUGUCCAUUUUAGAUUAGUUAGCUGGUCUGGUAAAGGUUCAUCAAGCCAACGAUUUGUAACUGAUCUGAGAGGACGACCAGCCACACUGGAACUGAGACACGGCCCAGACUACUACGGGAGGCAGCAGUGGGGAAUAUUGGACAAUGGGCGAAAGCAUGAUGGAGCAAUGCCGCGUGAAGGAAGAAGGACUUCGGGUGGUAAACUGCUGUUGUAAGGAAAGAAAAGGAGCGGGAGAAAAAGCGGAGAUAAUGACGGUACCGAAAGAAAAAGCAACGGCUAACUACGUG